CCUACGGGAGGCAGCAGUGAGGAAUAUUGGUCAAUGGACGAGAGUCUGAACCAGCCAAGUAGCGUGAAGGAUGACUGCCCUAUGGGUUGUAAACUUCUUUUAUAUGGGAAUAAAAUGUUCCACGUGUGGGAUUUUGUAUGUACCAUAUGAAUAAGGAUCGGCUAACUCCGUGCCAGCAGCCGCGGUAAUACGGAGGAUCCGAGCGUUAUCCGGAUUGAUUGGGUUUGAAGGGAGCGUAGGUGGAUUGUUAAGUCAGUUGUGAAAGUUUGCGGCUCAACCGUAAAAUUGCAGUUGAAAAUGGCAGUCUUGAGUACAGUAGAGGAGGGCGGAAUUCGUGGUGUAGCGGUGAAAUGCUUAGAUAUCACGAAGAACUCCGAUUGCGAAGGCAGCUCACUGGACUGCAACUGACACUGAGGCUCGAAAGUGUGGGUAUCAAACAGGAUUAGAUACCCUUGUAGUC
RNAcentral lists this ribosomal RNA (460 nucleotides) under uncultured bacterium. Its description in RNAcentral is "partial 16S ribosomal RNA". It matches the Rfam family "Bacterial small subunit ribosomal RNA", at positions 338 to 795 of the family's 1533-position model. The record is from RNAcentral.